CUCAGAUUGAACGCUGGCGGCAUGCCUUACACAUGCAAGUCGAAUGGCAGCGGGCCUUCGGGUGCCGGCGAGUGGCGAACGGGUGAGUAAUGCAUCGGAACGUGCCAUUGAGUGGGGGAUAACGUAGCGAAAGUUACGCUAAUACCGCAUAUUCUGUGAGCAGGAAAGCAGGGGACCGCAAGGCCUUGCGCUCUUUGAGCGGCCGAUGUCAGAUUAGCUAGUUGGUGAGGUAAAGGCUUACCAAGGCGACGAUCUGUAGCGGGUCUGAGAGGAUGAUCCGCCACACUGGAACUGAGACACGGUCCAGACUCCUACGGGAGGCAGCAGUGGGGAAUUUUGGWAAAUGGGGGCAACCCUGAUCCRGCCAUGCCGCGUGAGKGAAGAAKGCYUUCSRKWUGUAAAGCUCUUUCGGCCGGGAAGAAAUCGCAUGGGCCAAUACCCUGUGUGGAUGACGGUACCGGAAUAMGAAGCACCGGCUAACUACGUGCCAGCAGYCGCGGUAAUACGUAGGGUGCGAGCGUUAAUCGGAAUUACUGGGCGUAAAGCGUGCGCAGGCGGUUUUGUAASACAGGCGUGAAAUCCCCGGGCUUAACCUGGGAACUGCGUUUGUGACUGCAAGGCUAGAGUACGGCAGAGGGGGGUGGAAUUCCACGUGUAGCAGUGAAAUGCGUAGAGAUGUGGAGGAACACCAAUGGCGAARGGCAGCCCCCUGGGUCGAUACUGACGCUCAUGCACGAAAGCGUGGGUAGCAAACAGGAUUAGAUACCCUGGKUAGUCCACGCCCUAAACUAUGUCAACUAGGUGUUGGGKGGGUAAAACCWUUUAGUACCGUAGCUAACGCGUGAAGUUGACCGCCUGGGGGAGUACGGCCSSCAUGUUAAAACUCAAAGGAAUUGACCGGGGACCCGCWCAAGCGGKGAUGAUGUGCAUUAUUYSAWKSAACSCGAAAACCUUACCUACCUUGACAKKCCAGGAACUUGCCARARAAUGGCUUGUGCCGGAAAGGGARCCCUGAACWAGGUGCUGCCAUGGCUGUCGUCYACCUCUGUMUGUAGWGGUUGGUAAUUCCSUAACGAAGSCACCCUGUCUGUUAUUUGCMCUAUUUAGUUGGGCMUUUUASAAAGACCYGCCGCGGGRUACMAACCGYCGUAG
Molecule: ribosomal RNA, 1152 nt
Filed under: uncultured bacterium
Lineage: Bacteria
Description: partial 16S ribosomal RNA
Rfam family: Bacterial small subunit ribosomal RNA
Source: RNAcentral